Molecule: non-coding RNA, 1965 nt
Filed under: Pan troglodytes (chimpanzee)
Lineage: Eukaryota; Metazoa; Chordata; Mammalia; Primates; Hominidae
Source: RNAcentral
UGAGCUCCAAGGUCGUGGUCUGGUCCUCAGGGAUGAGGUCCCGGGUCCAGACUCUUUCCUUGGUCAGCAACUCCUGCUUAGAAGCUCCCCGCCCCGAAUGGAAUCUUGACCUGGCGCUAGGUCCCCCGCUGGGAGUGCCCGAGGCUUUCCUGAAGGCCCCAUGCCUUCAGGCCGCCAGGGUCCCAAGGUGCCUGUGGCGGCCCCUCGUCCGCCUGAGCCCUGAGAUCAGCGCGGCCCUCGGUGCUGCAGGGCCCCAGGGCGGCCAGGAAACACCUGCCCCAAGUCCAGGCCCGGCCCCACCGCAGUCCAGGACCCUAAUUCUCGAGUGUCUCUUCACGACCCUGACCCCGGAAGGGCGCUUCCUUGCGAACGAAUUUUUAACUCUGCGGACUGGGAUCCCUUGUAGGGGCCCCUCCGAGGGCCCCUCCCACCCCUUUCCCCUGGACUAGCGAACUCCGACCCUAAGCGCGGCCCCGCGGGGAGCGGAUCCCGGAAGCUAGGCCCAUAUCCGGCCGCGGCGCCUUGCGCGCGGGGUUGGCUGCCGGGAGGUCGACGCUAGUGCGGUGCCCCGCGCGGCGGAGGGGCCCGGGCCGCGGAAUCUGCGCACUGAGACGUCGGCGGAAGGCUAGAGGCCGUGCUCUCGCCACCGCAGAAGGCCACCACUCCUUGAGAAGGCCGGAGGGACAAAGCACCGGGCCUGCGCCGGGGGCAUUCAAGAAGGAAGCCAGGCCCGACCGGGGGGUGGCGCACGCUUCCCGAACCCCAGGCCCACGGCCCGGUUCCGCGCGGGCAGUUGGCGCCCCCUCGGGUCGGCACAGCAGACCUCUUAGUAAUGGUCCCCAGGAAGUGUGAGUGGGUCCCCGCCAAUCUUUUAAGGUUCAGAGAUCCACCGUCGAACGAAGCCGCUUUUACAACUUCCCCAUUUAGCCUCUUUCCUCGCCCCCCCGCUGGCUAAAGCGCUGAACCUUGCCAUCCUCCUGGGGUGCCUAACGAUUUGCCCUGCCUUGGACAGCCAGUCCUCUUCAGGUGGUGGGCUGCUGGUAGGGGUAGGAAGCAAGGCCUGGGGCACAGCUGGGGACCCUCACACCUGAUUUUCUGUUUUAAGGAGGAACUGGGUUUCAAGAAGCUGUAGAGUCAGUGGGAGUUUCCUUUUGUGGCCCUUGGCACUUUUUAAAACACCCAUCUGCAAGGCGGGAACAGCGGAGAAAGUGCUAUGUAGUUCAUAAAAAAGAUAUUGGGAGACUGUUAUCUUAAGAGUUUUUCUAGAGAUUGUUUUGUAAUCUGUCAGUUUAGAGAGUUGAUAUGUCCCGCGCCAUCAGCCCGCUGAAUGGGAUCUUCCUUCAGACAGGGACUGAGAAACGGAAAUACUACCAUCCUCCAGCCAAUCUGUUGGGAGGACUGCUUGCAGAGGACUCGUGCUCCAGAUGUUGCACUAGAGGCGCUGCAAGUGUGAGCAGCAGGUAGAUGAAACUCAAGAGAAAAGGUGUGGAUAAAUGAAACUAGCCCAUGAUGAACCUGUUUUCUCCAUGACCACAAUAUUAACCAGGAUGAUGGCGGUGGCAGUGGGCCUGCAUCACAGGUUGCAGCAGAUGUUCUCAAUAUUUCUAUUAAAAUUUCCUUAUUUCCAUAUGCAAGAGGAGCCCCAGAGCUGCAUCCUUAUGGUAGCUACCAUGCCGUGAUGUAAGCUGCCAUUCACUGGGGAGCUUUGGCAAUAGAAUUGGCUAGAUCAGCAAGCCCAUGUCAACUAUGGAACAACAACUUGCAGCUCAUCUCUAUUGAUGAUGGAAUCUCGCUAUGUCACCAGGCUGGAGUGCAGUGGCGCAACCUCGGCUCAGCGCAACAUCCGCCUCCCGGGUUCAAGUGAUUCUCCUACCUCAGCCUCCCGAGUAGCUGGGAUUACAGAUACACUGCCUCUAGGACUGGGACAGAUAGCCACUGAGUACCUGCUUCAAAUCACCCUGCACG